GACAGUUUGGCCGAGUCGUCUAAGGCGCCAGAUUUAGGCUCUGGUCCGAUAGGGCGUGUGGGUUCAAAUCCCACAGCUGUCA
Molecule: transfer RNA, 82 nt
Filed under: Nelumbo nucifera (sacred lotus)
Lineage: Eukaryota; Viridiplantae; Streptophyta; Magnoliopsida; Proteales; Nelumbonaceae
Rfam family: tRNA
About the family: Transfer RNA (tRNA) molecules are approximately 80 nucleotides in length.
Source: Rfam by way of RNAcentral